UACACUCCUGCGGGAGGCAGCAGUGGGGAAUAUUGCACAAUGGGCGCAAGCCUGAUGCAGCGACGCCGCGUGGGGGAUGAAGGCCUUCGGGUUGUAAACUCCUUUCGCUAGGGACGAAGCUUUUUUGUGACGGUACCUAGAUAAGAAGCACCGGCUAACUACGUGCCAGCAGCCGCGGUAAUACGUAGGGUGCGAGCGUUGUCCGGAAUUACUGGGCGUAAAGGGCUCGUAGGUGGUUUGUCGCGUCGUCUGUGAAAUUCUGGGGCUUAACUCCGGGCGUGCAGGCGAUACGGGCAUAACUUGAGUGCUGUAGGGGUAACUGGAAUUCCUGGUGUAGCGGUGAAAUGCGCAGAUAUCAGGAGGAACACCGAUGGCGAAGGCAGGUUACUGGGCAGUUACUGACGCUGAGGAGCGAAAGCAUGGGUAGCGAACAGGAUUAGAAACCCCGGUAGUCCC
RNAcentral lists this ribosomal RNA (456 nucleotides) under uncultured organism. RNAcentral describes it as "partial 16S ribosomal RNA". It matches the Rfam family "Bacterial small subunit ribosomal RNA", at positions 332 to 797 of the family's 1533-position model. The record is from RNAcentral.